UGAGGAAUAUUGGUCAAUGGAGGCAACUCUGAACCAGCCAUGCCGCGUGGAGGAUGACGGCCCUCUGGGUUGUAAACUCCUUUUAUAGAAGAAGAAAUCCAUUUUUUCUAAGAUGGUUGACGGUACUCUAUGAAUAAGCACCGGCUAACUCCGUGCCAGCAGCCGCGGUAAUACGGAGGGUGCAAGCGUUAUCCGGAUUCACUGGGUUUAAAGGGAGCGUAGGUGGGUUUGUAAGUCAGUGGUGAAAUC
RNAcentral lists this ribosomal RNA (249 nucleotides) under uncultured Chitinophagaceae bacterium. RNAcentral's name for it is "partial 16S ribosomal RNA". It matches the Rfam family "Bacterial small subunit ribosomal RNA", at positions 355 to 601 of the family's 1533-position model. Lineage: Bacteria; Pseudomonadati; Bacteroidota; Chitinophagia; Chitinophagales; Chitinophagaceae. The record is from RNAcentral.